GCGGCGUGCCUAUACAUGCAAGUCGAGCGAACAGACGAGGAGCUUGCUCCUCUGACGUUAGCGGCGGACGGGUGAGUAACACGUGGAUAACCUACCUAUAAGACUGGGAUAACUUCGGGAAACCGGAGCUAAUACCGGAUAAUAUAUUGAACCGCAUGGUUCAAUAGUGAAAGACGGUUUUGCUGUCACUUAUAGAUGGAUCCGCGCCGCAUUAGCUAGUUGGUAAGGUAACGGCUUACCAAGGCAACGAUGCGUAGCCGACCUGAGAGGGUGAUCGGCCACACUGGAACUGAGACACGGUCCAGACUCCUACGGGAGGCAGCAGUAGGGAAUCUUCCGCAAUGGGCGAAAGCCUGACGGAGCAACGCCGCGUGAGUGAUGAAGGUCUUCGGAUCGUAAAACUCUGUUAUUAGGGAAGAACAAAUGUGUAAGUAACUAUGCACGUCUUGACGGUACCUAAUCAGAAAGCCACGGCUAACUACGUGCCAGCAGCCGCGGUAAUACGUAGGUGGCAAGCGUUAUCCGGAAUUAUUGGGCGUAAAGCGCGCGUAGGCGGUUUUUUAAGUCUGAUGUGAAAGCCCACGGCUCAACCGUGGAGGGUCAUUGGAAACUGGAAAACUUGAGUGCAGAAGAGGAAAGUGGAAUUCCAUGU
RNAcentral lists this ribosomal RNA (652 nucleotides) under Staphylococcus sp. RNAcentral describes it as "bacterial SSU rRNA". It matches the Rfam family "Bacterial small subunit ribosomal RNA", at positions 39 to 674 of the family's 1533-position model. The record is from RNAcentral. Lineage: Bacteria; Bacillati; Bacillota; Bacilli; Caryophanales; Staphylococcaceae.